Molecule: long non-coding RNA, 1527 nt
Filed under: Ficedula albicollis (Collared flycatcher)
Lineage: Eukaryota; Metazoa; Chordata; Aves; Passeriformes; Muscicapidae
Description: lncRNA (ENSFALG00000026648.1)
Source: RNAcentral
AUGAAAAAUACGGGGGGAGCGCGGAGAGAGGAGCCCCUUCGAAUUGGAGAGCGGGAGGCGCUUGGAAAUGCGGGAUUCCCCCCGCGGGGCUCCCUCCGGCCGCUUCUCCGGGACAGCCGCCGGUUUUCUUCUCGCAGCCUUUACCGGCAGCGGCAGCGGAGCUUUCGCAGCGCUCGGGGCGCCCCGGGGCCGUUCCCGGUGUCAUUCCCGGUGCUGCUCCGGGGCCAUUCCCGGGACCUCUCUGGGGCCGUUCCCGGUGUCAUUCCCGGUGCUGCUCCGGGGCCAUUCCCGGGACCUCUCUGGGGCCGUUCCCGGUGUCAUUCCCGGUGCUGCUCCGGGGCCAUUCCCGGGAGCUCCCUCCGGCCGCUUCUCCGGGACAGCCGCCGGUUUUCUUCUCGCAGCCUUUACCGGCAGCGGCAGCGGAGCUUUCGCAGCGCUCGGGGCGCCCCGGGGCCGUUCCCGGUGUCAUUCCCGGUGCUGCUCCGGGGCCAUUCCCGGGACCUCUCUGGGGCCGUUCCCGGUGUCAUUCCCGGUGCUGCUCCGGGGCCAUUCCCGGGACCUCUCUGGGGCCGUUCCCGGUGUCAUUCCCGGUGCUGCUCCGGGGCCAUUCCCGGGACCUCUCUGGGGCCGUUCCCGGUGUCAUUCCCGGUGCUGCUCCGGGGCCAUUCCCGGGACCUCUCUGGGGCCGUUCCCGGUGUCAUUCCCGGUGCUGCUCCGGGGCCAUUCCCGGGACCUCUCUGGGGCCGUUCCCGGUGUCAUUCCCGGUGCUGCUCCGGGGCCAUUCCCGGGACCUCUCUGGGGCCGUUCCCGGUGUCAUUCCCGGUGCCGUUCCCGGGACUUUCUGUGGCCGUUCCCGGUGUCAUUCCCGGUGCUGCUCCGGGGCCGUUCCCGAGACCUCUCUGGGGCCGCUCCGGGGCUGUUCCCGGCCCUUUUCCGGUGUUAUUCCCGGGCUGUUCCCGAGGCCAUUCCCGGGACGAUCCCAGUGUCGUUCCCGGCCCGUUCCCGAUGUUAUUCCCGGGCUAUUCCUGGUGUCAUUCCCGGGCCGUUCCCAGUGUUAGUCCCGGGCUGUUCCCGGUGUUUUUCCCUAUGUUAUUCCCGGGCUAUUCCUGGUGUCGUUCCCGGAGUUAUUCCCGGCCCGUUCCCGGUGUUUUUCCCUAUGUUAUUCCCGGGCCAUUCCCGGUGUUAUUCCCGGGCCCGCUCCGGUCUCACCUGCCCGCGGGCGCUCCGCGCGGCGUGUGUCGCCCCCCAGGGGACACCGCGGGGACUGCAGCGCUCCCCGGCACCGCCCGGGCGCGGGGACAGGGACAGACGGACCGAGGGACAGACAUGGGGACAGAGAGACAGGGACAGACAGACAGGGAUAGAGGGACAGAGGGACAGGGACAGAGACGGGGACAGAGAUGGGGACAGAUGGACAGAGAUGGGGACAAUGAGAGACUGAUCAGGAAAAGAGGAAAGAGAGAGAAACGGUGGAGAGAGGAUGAAGGUGAGAACAACGGAGAGAGAGAGGAUGAGUGGAGAAAAUAA